UUUUUUUAUUAGACUAGGAAAUAUAAUUUAUUUUGUAAAAAUUAAUUUUGUUACAAUAGGAAUGCUAAACUUUAUUUACAGGUUGAAGUUUACAGAACAAACGGCGGUGGGAUAGGGCCAUCCCUGCAGCCCUACAUCCCCGGGACACAUAACCAUGUCCAUGGCCCAGGCAGGGGGUCCAGCCCUUUGCCCCCAGGAGAGCUGCUCCCUGCACCCAAACUCCUGGUCACCUUCCCUCAGGGGGCAUACUAAGGGACCUGGCUCAGCUGCCUGGUUGCUGGGGAAAAGGGGACCAGAGGGUCCUGGAGCACCCAGGAGCUGGGGGCCCCCGCCACGCCCUCAGGAGGACCCCUGGCCCGGAGUUCUGGAGCCCGGCUCACUGCAAGAGAAGGCAGAGGGGGAGGCACGUAGAGGAUACGUCGAUGGACCCUGUGGACUCAGAGAGGUCACAUGCUCACACCUAGGUGGGGGCAUGUUCCUGGACGGACACCCUGAUGUGCCUGCAGACAAAAGCACACGCACAAGGGCACACCCAUGCAUGCACGUGCAGACACGCCCCAGAGAUGAGAGACACAUAAACACCCACGCGAGGCCCCUGCAAGCCCUGCGGGGGGUGGGGGGGGCCCUGGUCUGCCCCUUGUGGGGUCCGUGGGCCAUGUAGGGAGGCCUCUAAGGUCUACAGAGGAGGAGAAAUCCUGAUCCUACCCUAAGGCGGGCCGUGUGGGAUAACAGCCACAGCAGCCUCAGCAGAGGGCUGAUUGGAUGGAGCCCAGCCAACCCUUUCCAGGCGUUUCUUAUAAAGCCAGGCAGUUCGAACCCUCCCAGGAGGCUCCAGCCUAUUGGUUCUGUGCCCCAGGCCCCGGUACACAAUUUCUGAAAAUCAGCUAAGAAAUGGCACGUGAGCAGCUGGCCUGGCCUCAUCCACCAGGGGCUCCCUCCUGGGUGCUGAGCAAGCCGGGCAGAGAGGAGGGGCAUGGCGGACCACGGCCAACCUCCCCCCACCAGCAACCUACAGUGGCCACGUGUCAGGACCCAAAGGGAGUCAGAUGGUAGCUGCAGGUGUAAAGAGGAAGUGAGGCCCAGAGAAGGCAGUCCUAUGCCUGGGGUCACGCAGCAGGCUAAUGGCACAGCUGGGGCUGGAAUGUGCUGGUCUUUGGACCCCGGGCUGCCCGUGGGCACUGUAGGGACUGACGGGAAGGGUGCAGCGGCAUUGCUUAGGCUGCUCCCACAGCCGUGUUGCCACACAGGCUUGCACAGCGCAGGCUCGGAGUCAUCAGGGACGCUGAGCCCACGGCGGUGGGCACCUCUGGCAGGAAGGUUCGCUGCCUUUGAGGCAACACCACAAAGGCACUGGAGUGAAGAGCUGUUGCUGCCCAGCCCCGAAUGCAGGCCUGGCCCCUUCAGCGGCCCUAUACAAAAACUCCUCUCUCGAACCCAGCCAGCCUGUCUGCCCGUGGCUGACCUAACCCCUGGGAGGUAGGUAGGUGGUUGAGAACCCCCAUAAGCCCCAGAGUCCAUGGCAGGGACACCAAAUGGGACUGGAGCCCCCAAAUCUGCUUUCCUCCCAGGAGACUAGACUUUCAAAGGCCAGGAUAUGCCCAGGCUGGUCCCAGCAGCUGCUCACGGGCAAGCUGGGCAAGCCCUGGGGUCAGUGCCCACCCAGAGCUGUCCGGCGGCGGGGGCUGGCACUGCUUUGCUCCGGGUGCCAAAGAGGAGCGAGAGGCCUGUGAUGAGGCUCUGUGCCAGUUCUAAGAGCCUGGUCGCAGCCACUGUUAGCUGGUCAACAAGGGACCUUGAUUUGAUGGCCCCUUGGACAUGCUGGAGCAGGCUGGUGAGGGGGUACUGGCCCCUCCCCUCUGGCAGCCCUGCCUGUUCACAGCUCACUUCAAGACCUCCCAGACUGCAGAAGGAGGCCGAGACCCGGGCUGAAGGUGCCAGUGGGGGUCAGAGCUGGAAGACAGCCCUCCCCAGGUGCUCGUCCACUGGGGCGGGCGUGUGGAACAACACAGCCAGGCCACCUACCUCCCGGCCUCCCGGCCCGCAGGGCUGACUGCUGACACGGUCUUCAAAGCCACACCGGGGCCCAGAAGCUCAGGCUUCUGCUGUUAGAGGCCUUCUCAUCCAUCCCUUCUGUCUUAUGGAUGAACCUCCCCAGCCAACUGAGGCUCGGGGGUGCCGGGCAAUGGGUGACCUGGCUGGUCCCACCCUGGGGUGAGGGAGAGAAGUGUCCCCAGGAGACUCUCAUCUUCCCUCCCCUUUCCCAUCGGCUUCUUUCUCUGCUUGGGGCCCCACCUCUGGGCCCUGUCCCCUUCUCCGGGAGCCCCCAGAGGGGGACACUGGAGACCCUGUCCCUGGCUCACAGCUAGCACGGCCUGCCCACACUUUCUACCCCAGGGCCUUGUAAUCUGCACUCCCCAGGGGCCCAGGGAGCCUGUGGGGCACCUGCCUGGGGAGGUAGGAGGACGAGAUGACCCCACCCCACUCCAGACCUCAGGGCUCCUUGGCUUUACAGAUUCGGCAUCUGCUUAAGAUUUUAGAAGGAAACGUGGUACCAUGGCUAAAACCCCAUCUGACCCUGUACAACUGGGGAAACUGAGGCCUUUUAGGAAUUAGUCUAAGACGGAAUCAUUAGCAGCAAGGUGUUCCCUGUUCUGUCUCUCUCUCUCUCUCCCUGAUAAUCUCACACACACGCACACACACUCACACACUCACACGCUCACUCCUGGCCAGAACCGUGAGCAAGCCUGCACUCACCCGCACUCAAGAAAAGAGUUUUCUAUUUUUUUUGUGUUGUUUUUUUCAUUUUCUUUUUUUUUUUCUUAAAAAGGACUUAUCCAAAUAUUUGGAUAAUAAAUCAUGUGCGUUUCCUAAGAAACUGGGUUUUUCUUUUCCCUUGUGGUUUUGGCGUUGCUCUUUUUUUCUUCUUGGAGCCUGACUAGCGGCCUGAAGUGUCUUUCUUCCUUUCCUUUUCCCUUUUGCUUUGGACAGGAGAAAGCAGUUCGUCUGAAUUGUACUUGACUCUUCAAAGAGGAAAACGGUGUGAAAGGAGAAGGGGGCUCGGGGCGGGGUGGUGGCGGGGAGGGAGACACCAGGAACUGAGGAAGAAACUGGAAGGACGCAACUACGACAAAGGUAACCCAGAACUCCCAGGGUGGAGGCGGCCUGGUGGGGUGGCAGGAGUGGGGAGGGCUCC
This 3193-nucleotide long non-coding RNA is filed under the name Canis lupus familiaris (dog). RNAcentral describes it as "lncRNA (ENSCAFG00000053198.1)". The record is from RNAcentral. Lineage: Eukaryota; Metazoa; Chordata; Mammalia; Carnivora; Canidae.